Molecule: ribosomal RNA, 497 nt
Filed under: uncultured bacterium
Lineage: Bacteria
Description: partial 16S ribosomal RNA
Rfam family: Bacterial small subunit ribosomal RNA
Source: RNAcentral
GAUGAACGCUGGCGGCGUGCCUAAUACAUGCAAGUCGAGCGAACGGACGAGAAGCUUGCUUCUCUGACGUUAGCGGCGGACGGGUGAGUAACACGUGGAUAACCUACCUAUAAGACUGGGAUAACUUCGGGAAACCGGAGCUAAUACCGGAUAAUAUAUUGAACCGCAUGGUUCAAUAGUGAAAGACGGUCUUGCUGUCACUUAUAGAUGGAUCCGCGCUGCAUUAGCUAGUUGGUAAGGUAACGGCUUACCAAGGCAACGAUGCAUAGCCGACCUGAGAGGGUGAUCGGCCACACUGGAACUGAGACACGGUCCAGACUCCUACGGGAGGCAGCAGUAGGGAAUCUUCCGCAAUGGGCGAAAGCCUGACGGAGCAACGCCGCGUGAGUGAUGAAGGUCUUCGGAUCGUAAAACUCUGUUAUUAGGGAAGAACAAAUGUGUAAGUAACUGUGCACGUCUUGACGGUACCUAAUCAGAAAGCCACGGCUAACUACGUG